AUUGAACGCUGGCGGCAUGCUUUACACAUGCAAGUCGAACGGUAACAGGGUGCUUGCACCGCUGACGAGUGGCGAACGGGUGAGUAAUGCAUCGGAAUGUACCGUGUAAUGGGGGAUAGCUCGGCGAAAGCCGGAUUAAUGCCGCAUACGCCCUGAGGGGGAAAGUGGGGGACCGAAAGGCCUCACGUUAUACGAGCAGCCGAUGUCUGAUUAGCUAGUUGGUGAGGUAAAGGCUCACCACGGCGUCGAUCAGUAGCGGGUCUGAGAGGAUGAUCCGCCACACUGGGACUGAGACACGGCCCAGACUCCUACGGGAGGCAGCAGUGGGGAAUUUUGGACAAUGGGCGCAAGCCUGAUCCAGCCAUGCCGCGUGUCUGAAGAAGGCCUUCGGGUUGUAAAGGACUUUUGUCCGGGAGCAAAUCCUAGUGGUUAAUACCUACUGGGGCUGAGAGUACCGGAAGAAUAAGCACCGGCUAACUACGUG
Molecule: ribosomal RNA, 484 nt
Filed under: uncultured bacterium
Lineage: Bacteria
Description: partial 16S ribosomal RNA
Rfam family: Bacterial small subunit ribosomal RNA
Source: RNAcentral